Molecule: long non-coding RNA, 1416 nt
Filed under: Mus musculus (house mouse)
Lineage: Eukaryota; Metazoa; Chordata; Mammalia; Rodentia; Muridae
Description: long non-coding RNA chrX:159790154-159791570
Source: RNAcentral
UGCCAUUUGUUGGUACUUUAAAAACUGGGACAUUCUCGAUUUGAUUAUGCUGUUUUCCUCUCAGCUUCUCUAAGAUUCAGAAAGAGAUAUAGAUCCCAGAUGAGGGUCUCUGGGAUUUUUCUAGAUGCCUUUCACAAUUUUUAAAAUGUUCAUCUUUUCUGUUGCCUCCUCCUCUGUGCCUCCCUCCGUCAUUUCCUCCUCCUCCUUCUCCUCCUCCUCCUUCUCCUCCUUCUCCUCCUCCUCCUUCUCCUCCUCCUCCUCCUCCUCCUCCUCCUCCUCCUCCUCCUCCUCCUCUAUUUUUUACCAUAAAUGUUUGGAUCUGAGAGAUCCAUUUGUCAGCAGCAAAGACUGAAAACACCUUAAAAUAUGUUGGAGGGCAGAGUAUUGGGGAAAAGGCCUUGCUUAUGCCCAACAAAUAACCUAUAUUUAGAAUCUUUCCUCAGUUUUUCCUUUAAAAUUCUUAUUCUCAUUUCGCUUGAAUGACUCUGCAUGGAGCAUUUAAAAGUAGAUCAAACAGAACUCUAUAAAUAUGUUGAGUUCUUUUGGGCAUUUUGCCCAAAUCAGCCUUGCUAAAUCAGAGAAGAGCAAAGUGCUUUAAUAUGUUGGAUUUUCUUCCCUGCAAAAAUCCAGAAUUUUUCUCCCAAAGACUAGCUGCCUAGGCCGAGGAAACCUUCGUGAAGUAGCCUUUGAGUGGGAGGUGCUCUGAAAGGCUAAAGCCAAGGCCUGAGAGUAGCUGGAGGCAAUCAACAGAACUGGUGUGCUUAGAGACCUCGCUGAUUAUGUUUUCUCAGUGUGAUGCGUUUAUGCCUCUCUGAUGGGAAAAAAAAAAAAGGCUGGUGAAAAGAAAAUUGGUUGAGCUGGUAUAGGUAAUUUAACAAAGAUGCUUUCUACUAGAUUUAUGAAUGUAAAACCAAAUGUUACAAAGGAUGGAGUCAAGUAAAAGGAAGCCCUCCUGUAAAGCAGGUCUCUGCCUAUCACACCCAUGUUGUACACAAGGAAACUGAUGCCAAGGGCCUAUGGUAGUUGUACAUGGGAGCCCUCUGGCUCUGUGUCUCUACUACCUUUUGAGCUGCAGGAAUUUUUGACAUGACCAUAAUGCUUCCAGUGUGAACUAUGUGUCUAUGAGCAGGAAAAUCACAGCUCAUAUUAGCCUUUCACAGUAUUUUACAUAGCAUUUUUAUAAGAUAGUUGAGGUGGAAAACAUUUCAUGAGUUCUUCAUGUGCAUGACACCAGAAUUACAGAUGUGGCUUUUGAACAUCAGAGUAUAGCAUGGUGUAGUCCGUAGUCCCUGGAAUGGACAGCCAGAAGCGUCAGGAGUUCAAGAUCACCUUUAACAGUACAGCAAGGUCCAGAUCAUAAGGACUAGGCUGCGUCAAACCCUGCUUUAAAAGCAAAUAAACAUUAAAAAAUUAUCU